GCGAGAAAAGCUGAUGGCGGAGUUUAUAGAUGUCCGUACCGGAAACCGACACAGGUGGGUGAGGCGAGCAGCCUCAGGUGAACGAGUGAAACGUGGUCAAGGAACUCGGCAUAAUGAUCCCGUAACUUCGGAAGAAGGGAUGCCAGAGAGGGUGUAGGGUACACCGAAGCUCUCCCUGGUCGCAGCGAAUCGGCCCAAGCGACUGUUUAGCAAAAACACAGGUGUGUGCCAAGCCGCACAAGGCGCCGUAUACACACUGACGCCUGCCCGGUGCCGGAAGGUUAAGGGGAGAGGUUAGCCGCAAGGCGAAGCUUUGAGCCGAAGCCCCGGUAAACGGCGGCCGUAACAAUAACGGUCCUAAGGUAGCGAAAUUCCUUGUCGGGUAAGUUCCGACCUGCACGAAUGGCGUAACGACUUGGGCACUGUCUCGACCACGUGCUCGGCGAAAUGGCAGUCUCGGUGAGGAUUCCGAGUCCCCGCGACAGGACAAAAAGACCCCAUGCACCUUUACUGUAGCUUGUCAUUGGUCGUUGCACAUCGCUGUGUAGCAUAGGUGGGAGGCGUUGAUCCGUGGGCGCUAGCUUACGGGGAGCCAUCAGUGAAAUACCACCCUGCGUCGUGCGACGCCCUCACCACGGCGGGAACACCCCGUCUGGGACCGUGGCAGGUGGGCAGUUUGACUGGGGCGGUCGCCUCCGAAACAGUAACGGAGGCGCGCGCAAGGUUGGCUCAGCGCGGACGGUACUCGCGCUUCUAGAGUGUAACGGCAGAAGCCAGCCUGACGGUGAGAUCGACGGAUCGAGCCGCCACGAAAGUGGGCCGUAGUGAUCCGGUAGCCCGGGGUGGAGCGGCUAUCGCGCAACGGAUAAAAGGUACGCUGGGGAUAACAGGCUUAUCGCGCCCGAGAGUUCACAUCGACGGCGCGGUUUGGCACCUCGAUGUCGGCUUAUCACAUCCUGGGGCUGGAGAAGGUCCCAAGGGUCCGGCUGUUCGCCGGUUAAAGUGGUACAUGAGCUGGGUUCAGAACGUCGUGAGACAGUUCGGUCUGUAUCCGUCGUGGGCGUUGGAGAGUUGAGGGGAGCGGACUCUAGUACGAGAGGACCGAGUCGGACGACCCGCUCGUGUCCCGGUUGUCCUGCCAAGGGCACCGCCGGGUAGCGAUGGUCGGCUGUGAUAACCGCUGAAAGCAUCUAAGUGGGAAGCACGCCCCAAGAUGAACUCUCCCGAGGCCUUGAGCCUCUUGAAGGGCCGGGGAAGACCACCCCGUCGAUAGGCCGCCCGUGGACGUCCCGCAAGGGAUUCCAAGCGCAGCGGUCCUAAUCGCCCGUAUGGCUUGACUAC
This 1341-nucleotide ribosomal RNA is filed under the name metagenome. RNAcentral's name for it is "bacterial LSU rRNA". It matches the Rfam family "Bacterial large subunit ribosomal RNA", at positions 1608 to 2925 of the family's 2925-position model. The record is from RNAcentral.